RNAcentral lists this ribosomal RNA (1456 nucleotides) under Bacteroides pyogenes. Its description in RNAcentral is "bacterial SSU rRNA". It matches the Rfam family "Bacterial small subunit ribosomal RNA". Lineage: Bacteria; Pseudomonadati; Bacteroidota; Bacteroidia; Bacteroidales; Bacteroidaceae. The record is from RNAcentral. RNAcentral also lists the same sequence under 1 other name.
AGAGUUUGAUCCUGGCUCAGGAUGAACGCUAGCUACAGGCUUAACACAUGCAAGUCGAGGGGCAGCAUGAAUAUUGGCUUGCCAAUAUUUGAUGGCGACCGGCGCACGGGUGAGUAACACGUAUCCAACCUUCCGGUUACUCGGGGAUAGGCUUUCGAAAGAAAGAUUAAUACCCGAUGUUGUGUAUCUUUCUCCUGAUUGAUACGCCAAAGGAUUCCGGUAACCGAUGGGGAUGCGUUCCAUUAGGCAGUUGGCGGGGUAACGGCCCACCAAACCUUCGAUGGAUAGGGGUUCUGAGAGGAAGGUCCCCCACAUUGGAACUGAGACACGGUCCAAACUCCUACGGGAGGCAGCAGUGAGGAAUAUUGGUCAAUGGACGGAAGUCUGAACCAGCCAAGUAGCGUGAAGGAUGACUGCCCUCUGGGUUGUAAACUUCUUUUAUACGGGAAUAACAUGAGGUACGGGUACCUUAUUGCAUGUACCGUUAUGAAUAAGCAUCGGCUAACUCCGUGCCAGCAGCCGCGGUAAUACGGAGGAUGCGAGCGUUAUCCGGAUUUAUUGGGUUUAAAGGGAGCGUAGGUGGGAUAUUAAGUCAGCUGUGAAAGUUUGGGGCUCAACCUUAAAAUUGCAGUUGAUACUGGUUUUCUUGAGUACGGUAUAGGUGGGCGGAAUUCGUGGUGUAGCGGUGAAAUGCUUAGAUAUCACGAAGAACUCCUAUUGCGAAGGCAGCUCACUGGACCGGCACUGACACUGAUGCUCGAAAGUGCGGGUAUCAAACAGGAUUAGAUACCCUGGUAGUCCGCACAGUAAACGAUGAAUACUCGCUGUUUGCGAUACACAGUAAGCGGCCAAGCGAAAGCGUUAAGUAUUCCACCUGGGGAGUACGCCGGCAACGGUGAAACUCAAAGGAAUUGACGGGGGCCCGCACAAGCGGAGGAACAUGUGGUUUAAUUCGAUGAUACGCGAGGAACCUUACCCGGGCUUAAAUUGCGCUGGCUUUUACCGGAAACGGUAUUUUCUUCGGACCAGCGUGAAGGUGCUGCAUGGUUGUCGUCAGCUCGUGCCGUGAGGUGUCGGCUUAAGUGCCAUAACGAGCGCAACCCUUAUCUUUAGUUGCCAUCAGGUUUUGCUGGGGACUCUAAAGAGACUGCCGUCGUAAGAUGCGAGGAAGGUGGGGAUGACGUCAAAUCAGCACGGCCCUUACGUCCGGGGCUACACACGUGUUACAAUGGGGAGCACAGCAGGUUGCUACACGGCGACGUGAUGCCAAUCCGUAAAACUCCUCUCAGUUCGGAUCGAAGUCUGCAACCCGACUUCGUGAAGCUGGAUUCGCUAGUAAUCGCGCAUCAGCCACGGCGCGGUGAAUACGUUCCCGGGCCUUGUACACACCGCCCGUCAAGCCAUGAAAGCCGGGGGUACCUGAAGUACGUAACCGCAAGGAUCGUCCUUAGUAAAC